ACAAACUUGGUCAUUUAGAGGAAGUAAAAGUCGUAACAAGGUCUCCGUUGGUGAACCAGCGGAGGGAUCAUUACAGGGUCGCAAGACUCCAAAACCCACUGUGAACCUUACCGUACGUUGCCUCGGCGGGCGGCCCCAGGGCGGGGCCCCCGGCCUGCCGUUCUUCGGCAGGCGCCCGCCGAAGGCCCUUUUUACAAGGACUCUUUUUAUACAGUUACCUUUCUGAGCUACGUGUUUAAAAUAAAGUCAAAACUUUCAACAACGGAUCUCUUGGUUCUGGCAUCGAUGAAGAACGCAGC
This 299-nucleotide unclassified non-coding RNA is filed under the name uncultured fungus. RNAcentral's name for it is "partial contains small subunit ribosomal RNA, internal transcribed spacer 1, and 5.8S ribosomal RNA". The stretch from base 1 to 73 matches the Rfam family "Eukaryotic small subunit ribosomal RNA", at positions 1759 to 1831 of the family's 1831-position model. Lineage: Eukaryota; Fungi. The record is from RNAcentral.